RNAcentral lists this ribosomal RNA (439 nucleotides) under uncultured bacterium. RNAcentral's name for it is "partial 16S ribosomal RNA". It matches the Rfam family "Bacterial small subunit ribosomal RNA", at positions 339 to 795 of the family's 1533-position model. The record is from RNAcentral.
CUACGGGCCGCAGCAGUGGGGAAUAUUGCACAAUGGGGGAAACCCUGAUGCAGCGACGCCGCGUGAGUGAAGAAGUAUUUCGGUAUGUAAAGCUCUAUCAGCAGGAAAGAAAAUGACGGUACCUGACUAAGAGGCCCCGGCUAACUACGUGCCAGCAGCCGCGGUAAUACGUAGGGGGCAAGCGUUAUCCGGAUUUACUGGGUGUAAAGGGAGCGUAGACGGUAAUGUAAGUCUGGAGUGAAAGCCCAGGGCUCAACCCUGGGACUGCUUUGGAAACUGUGUUACUAGAGUGCAGGAGAGGUAAGUGGAAUUCCUAGUGUAGCGGUGAAAUGCGUAGAUAUUAGGAGGAACACCAGUGGCGAAGGCGGCUUACUGGACUGUAACUGACGUUGAGGCUCGAAAGCGUGGGGAGCAAACAGGAUUAGAUACCCCCGUAGUC